UCCAGACCACUGUGGGGGAGGUGGCAGUUACCCACAAUGCACCAGGCACAGCAUUACUCCAGAGUACUGUGGGGGGAAAUGGCAGCUUUCAGUGGGAGCAACCAUAUUUUUUGGACACACUUCCUCUCUUUUGUUUCUACAAUGCUCUUGGCAGACACGACAGUGGGAAACAAAAUGGCGACCACUACAAAGUACAGCCCGGACUGGUAGAUGACGAGGAUGACAGCUGGUCUCGCGGUAAGCAAGCAGGGAUGCCCCCUUUUGCUCAGCAGGGUCUGCCUUGGUUUGAAUUUGGAUGGGAGACGACGUGGGAGCACUGUCAGAUAUGGGGUCGGAGAUGGAUUUAGGCACCAGCUAAGGAAUCUGCAGUGUAGAGCCCCACUUGAUGAGGGGCCUCUGGAUCUUUUUUUUUUUAAAGACGAAAUUUCAAGUUUGACCGAAUGCAUUUCCAUGGAUUAAUUCCCUGCAUUUCAAAAUUUCGAAUGCAAGCAGGCUCUUUGUAAGAUAACUGUUUUUGGUUGGAUGAUCAGGGUUCCACUGCAUCAUCACCAAGUAAAAAUAAAGCUUUUUAAUUUCUA
Molecule: long non-coding RNA, 578 nt
Organism: Hemicordylus capensis (graceful crag lizard)
Lineage: Eukaryota; Metazoa; Chordata; Lepidosauria; Squamata; Cordylidae
Exons: 2
Source: RefSeq, a predicted model, not a curated record